UUGAACGCUGGCGGCAUGCCUUACACAUGCAAGUCGAACGGUAGAGGGGCAACCCUUGAGAGUGGCGAACGGGUGAGUAAUAUAUCGGAACGUGCCCAGUCGUGGGGGAUAACGCAGCGAAAGCUGCGCUAAUACCGCAUACGAUCUAUGGAUGAAAGCGGGGGAGUCGCAAGACCUCGCGCGAUUGGAGCGGCCGAUAUCAGAUUAGGUAGUUGGUGGGGUAAAAGGCCCACCAAGCCGACGAUCUGUAGCUG
Molecule: ribosomal RNA, 254 nt
Filed under: uncultured bacterium
Lineage: Bacteria
Description: partial 16S ribosomal RNA
Rfam family: Bacterial small subunit ribosomal RNA
Source: RNAcentral